Molecule: ribosomal RNA, 431 nt
Filed under: uncultured Elusimicrobium sp.
Lineage: Bacteria; Pseudomonadati; Elusimicrobiota; Elusimicrobia; Elusimicrobiales; Elusimicrobiaceae
Description: bacterial SSU rRNA
Rfam family: Bacterial small subunit ribosomal RNA
Source: RNAcentral
AACGCGAAGAACCUUACCUGGGCUUGAACUACUGGUAGUAAGUCUUUGGAAACAUGGACUGAUCCGCAAGGAAGCCAGCAGAGGUGCUGCAUGGUUGUCGUCAGCUCGUGUCGUGAGAUGUUGGGUUAAGUCCCGCAACGAGCGCAACCCCUAUCUCAUGUUGCUAAUCCCGCAAGGGAUGCACUUUUGAGAAACUGCCUUCGAUAAGAAGGAGGAAGGUGGGGAUGACGUCAAAUCCUCAUGGCCCUUAUGUCCAGGGCUACACACGUGCUACAAUGGCCGGUACAACGGGAAGCAAUACCGUAAGGUGGAGCCAAACCCUGAAAGCCGGCCCCAGUUCAGAUCGUGGGCUGCAACUCGCCCACGUGAAGGCGGAAUCGCUAGUAAUCGCGAAUCAGCAGGUCGCGGUGAAUACGUUCCCGGGCCUUGUA